GCCAGUUUGGCUCAGUGAGUAGAGUGUCAGCCUGUGGACUGAAGGGUCCCAGGUUCGAUUCCUGUAAAGGGCA
RNAcentral lists this transfer RNA (73 nucleotides) under Myotis davidii. It matches the Rfam family "tRNA". Rfam says of the family: Transfer RNA (tRNA) molecules are approximately 80 nucleotides in length. The record is from Rfam by way of RNAcentral. Lineage: Eukaryota; Metazoa; Chordata; Mammalia; Chiroptera; Vespertilionidae.